This 490-nucleotide ribosomal RNA is filed under the name uncultured bacterium. RNAcentral's name for it is "partial 16S ribosomal RNA". It matches the Rfam family "Bacterial small subunit ribosomal RNA", at positions 30 to 507 of the family's 1533-position model. The record is from RNAcentral.
AUUGAACGCUGGCGGCAGGCCUAGCACAUGCAAGUCGAACGGUAACAGGCAGAAGCUUGCUUCUUUGCUGCCGAGUGGCGGACGGGUGAGUCAUGUCUGGGAAACUGCCUGAUGGAGGGGGAUAACUACUGGAAACGGUAGCUAAUACCGCAUAACGUCGCAAGACCAAAGAGGGGGACCUUCGGGCCUCUUGCCAUCGGAUGUGCCCAGAUGGGAUUAGCUAGUAGGUGGGGUAACGGCUCACCUAGGCGACGAUCCCUAGCUGGUCGGAGAGGAUGACCAGCCACACUGGAACUGAGACACGGUCCAGACUCCUACGGGAGGCAGCGUUGGGGAAUAUUGCACAAUGGGCGCAAGCCUGAUGCAGCCAUGCCACGUGUAUGAAGAAGGCCUUCGGGUUGUAAAGUACUUUCAGCGGGGAGGAAGGGAGUAAAGUUAAUACCUUGACUCAUUGACGUUACCCGCAGAAGAAGCACCGGCUAACUCCGUG